CUUAGAGGUAAACGAGUGGAGCCGAAGUUGUAUUGUGGGAUUCAGUUGAUUUGUAUAUCGUCUAAUAGUUGAAUAAGGUCUCAAAAGGAUUUGUUUUGUUAUUAGCUUAUGGUAUUCAGUCGAUGCACUUUCCAUUUUACUUGACUGCGACCAAUAGUGUUGUUUCUCUGUCGUUGUGAUGAAGUUGAUCAAUGGUUUAUUCCAUAGGUUUUAUAGCGCACAGCACGGUUAAACGGUGUAUUGGUGAAUACGAUUCAGUCAACGUUGAUGAUUGUAUGAUGGUGAUUGAUUGAUGGUUGGCUUAAUAAAGAUUUCCGUCGGUUAGUUAUUGUCAUCGGUUAUCGAUAGAUUGUUUCUAAAGUCUGCAGUGUAUAUGUAGGUUACCUACUCGUCCCGUCUUGAAACACGGACCAAGGAGUUUUAUAUUAUCGCGAGUCAAAGGGCCUUACGAAACCCCACGGCGCAAUUAAUGUGAAGGUUGACUAUUACUGUCGACUGAGAUGUGACCUGAUGCUAAAACAUACAGAGCAACAUCAACCCGUCUAAAUAUGUUCGCAUAUGGGCGGAGUUUGAGCGAUAAUGUAGAGACCCGAAAGAUGGUGAACUAUGCUUGUGCAGGUUGAAGUCAGAGGAAACUCUGAUGGAGGACCGCCGCGGUUCUGACGUGCAAAUCGAUCGUCGGACAUGAGUAUAGGGGCGAAAGACUAAUCGAACCAUCUAGUAGCUGGUUCCCUCCGAAGUUUCCCUCAGGAUAGCUGGCAUUUAUUGUGUGUAGUUUUACCCGGUAAAGCGAAUGAUUAGAAGUAUUGGGGACGAAAUGUCCUCAACUUAUUCUCAAACUUUAAAUGGGUUCGAAGUGCUUCUCGUUUAAUUAGAGAAGUACAUUGAAUACAAAUGCCUAGUGGGCCAUUUUUGGUAAGCAGAACUGGCGAUGUGGGAUGAACCAAACAUCUGGUUAAGGUGCCUAACAUCAUGCUCAUGAGAAACCACAAAAGGUGUUGGUUGAUAAAGACAGCAGGACGGUGGACAUGGAAGUCGUCAUCCGCUAAGGAGUGUGUAACAACUCACCUGCCGAAUCAACCAGCCCUGAAA
RNAcentral lists this ribosomal RNA (1092 nucleotides) under Parakontikia ventrolineata. RNAcentral's name for it is "partial large subunit ribosomal RNA". It matches the Rfam family "Eukaryotic large subunit ribosomal RNA", at positions 408 to 1317 of the family's 3401-position model. The record is from RNAcentral. Lineage: Eukaryota; Metazoa; Platyhelminthes; Tricladida; Geoplanidae.